GAAGAACGCCGAUGCUAACCCGCUCAGUGAAACGGGAACUGGCAGAAAUAGGCAAUGUUUACCAAAGUUUACCAACAACACCUUAAUUUUAAUUCUGUAUUUUUAAUAAGUGGCUUGGGUUGUAACAUUUUAUAAUGCAAGGCUUGGGCUUGUUUGUUGCAUACUGCCAAGAUGGGCCUAUUUAAGUAUGUCUUCUGGCCAACACAAAAAGCUCAGGUCAGGCAUCAGGGUCAGUGCUGAUUUUAAAUAGCUGUCAUGGGGAACCUGGUAUUUAAAAUGUGGAAGGAGUGUGAAGAGGUCAGCUGCACCCUGCGUCCUUCUGGAGGCUGCUCGUUUUUAGCCCGGUGCUUAUUCAUGAGGUGAUGAGCAUUUCUAGGAGGCACACGAUAUAAAUAUUUAGCACUGUCAGUGGAGAAGGAAAAUAUUGUUGGAACAAUGUCUUCAUUUGUCAGAGGAAAAAUAGGGAAAAAUUUUUUUUUGAGAGAGAUCACAAUUAACUGCUCCCCAUGAACUGUUUCUCUAAAGAUUUCAGGCAGACGGUGCUCUUGCAGCGAGAAGAGUGAAUGCCAAUUGAGAGGAACAUGGAUCCAUUUAUACAGCCAGAGAAAUCAUUCUGUCAGACAGGAUAUAGGUACACAAAUUAAGCAGGUAUCAAAAUUAUAUCGUCUCUUCAGCGGCAACUGCCUCUCAAGAACAGGCUAUGGACAGGAAUAGGUAACGAUUUUAGCAGUCUGUAAUUUAAUUCUGCCAGCAUGUGACUACAGCAGUAGGCACCUGCUACUAACAAUGACAGGCAGCGCUGCCCAACUGCCCAGCAAAUCCCUUUCCUUCCCAUCACUGGAAAACUUCAGGCUGUGAUUCCCCUGCACAGGAGCCCCGAGCCUCCGGCACGAUGGUAUGGGAGAUCUGCCCUUCUUGCUGUCCUCCCAGUUCCUGAGGAGAAGUGCAGGUCGUGUUGCAGCCCUGCCUCCAGGGAAACCUUUACCUUCUGGGAUCUGUCCAGCCUAACCUUUGAAGCUUGGACUUUAGGUGAACAUCCUGGCAUGAGGUUUAUCCCUGCUUCCACAGAGCUUUCAGCCCUUGCCCUCUUUGCAGUACGAUAGCAAUUUCCUUGUGCGUUGUGGGUCUGAGUGCAGGACAUCUGCCAAGGGCAGUGCCCCAACCAUCUACCCAGAUCCCUGCCUUCCAGAACAUAAAUUCAUCCCUUUUGGCACCAGGAGGGAAAGAACUCAGAGAGAUAGGAAACCUGAAAACAUUCCUAGAAGGUGUCUCAUCAGAUAACCAAGCUGCAGUAAGUUCUUUUUAAUGGAAGCUGGAAAACACUUUGAAAAUACUUUAUUAAGCAUUAACUAAGUAUUAUCUUGGAAUGCAGAGACUGGUGGUGAUAAUUUGCCAAGAAGUGACAGUUCUUCAUCUUGUCCCAUCCUGUAUGCCCAAUAUACAGCAGCCUUCUGGGUAAUCCAAGGACUUGAGGGAAGUGUAAGACAUUCCAGGAGCUUUGGAAAGCUGUUCAAACAGGCAAUACCUGUUCCAUGCCUUCCUAAGAGUAAUGUAAUAUAUAUCAUGU
RNAcentral lists this long non-coding RNA (1567 nucleotides) under Anser brachyrhynchus (Pink-footed goose). RNAcentral's name for it is "lncRNA (ENSABRG00000001588.1)". The record is from RNAcentral. Lineage: Eukaryota; Metazoa; Chordata; Aves; Anseriformes; Anatidae.